AUCUCUCUUUACAAAAUGUUCUCUGCCAUCUCUCUAGAAUUAUACCCAUGUAAUGUAAUCUUUAUAAGAGACAAAAAAUCAAACCCUAAUCUGUUCUAAACCCUGAUCUGUUCUAAGCCCUAACUAAUUACCCAAACAAGAUCAAAUUGCAGCAAGUCAGUUGAGGUGGAGUGGUUGAUUGUGGUGGGUGAAGGGGUGGGUGGUUGAUUGUGGUAGGUUAGAAGCGGUUGAUUGUGGUGGGUUAGAAGCGGCGGUGUGUGAAGGGGUGGGUGCGGCAGGUGGAGUUGGGCGAUUGCAAGUGGUGGUGGCCGGAGACUGCUUCACCAGAAUUCUCUGCGUGUUAUGUUUGGAACUAACCAGAAAAUACAUGAUUCGCCGGAAUUCUCUGCGUGUUAGCCGGAGUUCGAAUUUCGCCGGAGUCCACCUUCCUCAUCGAUACUCGGAUACUCAGAAAUGUUUCUGUGAUGGUGGAUGGGGGUGGUGAGUUUAACGGUUGUGGUUGUUGAUUUGGGUUGUUUGCAAAGUUGGGGUUAGGGUUCCGGUGGGGGCGCCUGAAAUUUGGGACAAACAUAAAGGACAAAACUUGUAAUUUACUCUAA
This 599-nucleotide long non-coding RNA is filed under the name Helianthus annuus (common sunflower). RNAcentral describes it as "sRNA HanXRQr2_Chr10g0465271". Lineage: Eukaryota; Viridiplantae; Streptophyta; Magnoliopsida; Asterales; Asteraceae. The record is from RNAcentral.